AGGAGCAACAGCCCCAGUGGCGGGGCAGCUCUGGAAACCUGGAUUCAGCUCUGGCAGGAACUCCGUCUGCAGGGCCUGGAGGCUCCGGGGCGGG
Molecule: microRNA precursor, 94 nt
Filed under: Canis lupus familiaris (dog)
Lineage: Eukaryota; Metazoa; Chordata; Mammalia; Carnivora; Canidae
Description: mir-8834 microRNA precursor family
Rfam family: mir-8834 microRNA precursor family
Source: Rfam by way of RNAcentral